This 1945-nucleotide ribosomal RNA is filed under the name human gut metagenome. Its description in RNAcentral is "bacterial LSU rRNA". It matches the Rfam family "Bacterial large subunit ribosomal RNA", at positions 3 to 1985 of the family's 2925-position model. The record is from RNAcentral.
UCAAGUAAUUAAGUGCAUGUGGUGGAUGCCUUGGCAGUCAGAGGCGAUGAAAGACGUGAUAGCCUGCGAAAAGCUCCGGGGAGGCGGCAAAUAUCCUUUGAUCCGGAGAUGUCUGAAUGGGGGAACCCACCUACUUUAAGGUAGGUAUUGCAACAUGAAUACAUAGUGUUGCAAGGCGAACGAGGGGAAGUGAAACAUCUCAGUACCCUUAGGAAAAGAAAUCAAUUGAGAUUCCCUCAGUAGCGGCGAGCGAACGGGGAUCAGCCCAUUAAGUUAUGUGUGUUUUAGUGGAACGCUCUGGGAAGUGCGAACGUAGAGGGUGAUAUUCCCGUACACGAAAGGGCACACAUAAUGAUGACGAGUAGGGCGAGGCACGUGAAACCUUGUCUGAAUAUGGGGGGACCAUCCUCCAAGGCUAAAUACUCCUGACUGACCGAUAGUGAACCAGUACCGUGAGGGAAAGGCGAAAAGAACCCCUGUGAGGGGAGUGAAAUAGAUCCUGAAACCGCAUGCAUACAAGCAGUGGGAGCACCUUCGUGGUGUGACUGCGUACCUUUUGUAUAAUGGGUCAGCGACUUAUAUUCAGUAGCAAGGUUAACCGUAUAGGGGAGCCGUAGAGAAAUCGAGUCUUAAUAGGGCGUUUAGUUGCUGGGUAUAGACCCGAAACCAGGCGAUCUAUCCAUGAGCAGGUUGAAGGUUGGGUAACACUAACUGGAGGACCGAACCCACUGUCGUUGAAAAGCCAGGGGAUGACUUGUGGAUAGGGGUGAAAGGCUAAUCAAGCCUGGUGAUAGCUGGUUCUCCCCGAAAGCUAUUUAGGUAGCGCCUCGGACGAAUACCAUAGGGGGUAGAGCACUGUUUCGGCUAGGGGGUCAUCCCGACUUACCAAACCGAUGCAAACUCCGAAUACCUAUGAGUACUAUCCGGGAGACAGACUGCGGGUGCUAACGUCCGUAGUCAAGAGGAAAACAAUCCAGACCGCCAGCUAAGGCCCCAAAAUCAUAGUUAAGUGGGAAACGAUGUGGGAAGGCAUAGACAGCUAGGAGGUUGGCUUAGAAGCAGCCACCCUUUAAAGAAAGCGUAAUAGCUCACUAGUCGAGUCGGCCUGCGCGGAAGAUGUAACGGGGCUAAAACUAUGUGCCGAAGCUGCGGAUUUGACAUUAGUCAAGUGGUAGGGGAGCGUUCUGUAAGCCGAUGAAGGUGUAUUGAGAAGUAUGCUGGAGGUAUCAGAAGUGCGAAUGCUGACGUGAGUAACGACAAAACGGGUGAAAAACCCGUUCGCCGAAAGACCAAGGGUUCCAGUCCAACGUUAAUCGGGGCUGGGUGAGUCGACCCCUAAGGCGAGGCCGAAAGGCGUAGUCGAUGGGAAAAUGGUUAAUAUUCCAUUACUUCUGUGUAAUGCGAUGAGAGGACGGAGAAGGCUAAAUCAGCCUGGCGUUGGUUGUCCAGGUGAAAGGAUGUAGGCAUGUAUCUUAGGCAAAUCCGGGGUACUCUAUGCUGAGAUCUGAUAGCAAGCUGUACUUGUACAGCGAAGUGGUUGAUGCCAUGCUUCCAGGAAAAGUCUCUAAGCUUCAGUUACACAGGAAUCGUACCCGAAACCGACACAGGUGGUCAGGUCGAGUAGACCAAGGCGCUUGAGAGAACUCUGCUGAAGGAACUAGGCAAAAUGGUACCGUAACUUCGGGAGAAGGUACGCUGUUGUUGGUGAUGGAACUCGCUUCCUGAGCUGACGACAGCCGCAGAAACCAGGCCGCUGCAACUGUUUAUUAAAAACAUAGCACUCUGCAAACACGAAAGUGGACGUAUAGGGUGUGAUGCCUGCCCGGUGCUGGAAGGUUAAUUGAUGGGGUUAGCGUAAGCGAAGCUCUUGAUCGAAGCCCCAGUAAACGGCGGCCGUAACUAUAACGGUCCUAAGGUAGCGAAAUUCCUUGUCGGGUAAGUUCCG